Molecule: long non-coding RNA, 645 nt
Organism: Lucilia cuprina (Australian sheep blowfly)
Lineage: Eukaryota; Metazoa; Arthropoda; Insecta; Diptera; Calliphoridae
Exons: 3
Source: RefSeq, a predicted model, not a curated record
UGAUGGCAUUUUGGAAGCUCAUGGAAAAAGUUGACAUGUCAUAGUAAAAUAACACAGCGGCAAUAGUGGUGAUCAAUAUUUAUUUUGUACGAUUUUUUUAACUUCAUAGAGAUGUCGAUAAUAAAUGUAGAACCAUGUAUUCUUCAUUUUCCCUUUGUAUUUGUGGUUGUUGUUUUAUUCAACUUUUUUUCUCCGUUCGUCACCAGAGAUGAAGAGACUGACUAUUAAUAAGAGUGUAACCUUAGCAAAGCGUGCAACAAAAUCGUUCGGCAGCAAAAACAACAUUGGCAUAAAAAUUCUAAGAAAAAUGCAGAGGCACGGUUUUGAGUGGAUACAAUAUGUUACAAAUAAAUAAUAUGACGAUUUGAAGUUAAUAAGGAAUUUUGACCAAUAACUGUAGCAGUUGAAAACGUGACAUGCAUUAAUUCUUUUAAAUCAAACUUUCCAAAGGGCAGAAAAAACAAAAUUUGUAAUUGGAAAUAAGAGUAUUGUAUUCAUUUAUAAGAUAAAAAUAUUGUAUUACUGCCUCUAAUAUUGUAUCAUCAACUAAUUUUGCCUUAAGUUAUUAAUUUGAUUUUAUUGUUGUCUUCUAAGAAAUUUUACCAUUAUUCCAUAGCAACUCAAGCAAUCCAAUAUUAAAUAAAA